Molecule: ribosomal RNA, 1021 nt
Filed under: Chryseobacterium indoltheticum
Lineage: Bacteria; Pseudomonadati; Bacteroidota; Flavobacteriia; Flavobacteriales; Weeksellaceae
Description: bacterial SSU rRNA
Rfam family: Bacterial small subunit ribosomal RNA
Source: RNAcentral
UCCUGGCUCAGGAUGAACGCUAGCGGGAGGCCUAACACAUGCAAGCCGAGCGGUAGAAGAUCUUCGGAUCUUUGAGAGCGGCGUACGGGUGCGGAACACGUGUGCAACCUGCCUUUAUCAGGGGGAUAGCCUUUCGAAAGGAAGAUUAAUACCCCAUAAUAUAAUGAGUGGCAUCACUUAUUAUUGAAAACUCCGGUGGAUAGAGAUGGGCACGCGCAAGAUUAGAUAGUUGGUAGGGUAACGGCCUACCAAGUCAGUGAUCUUUAGGGGGCCUGAGAGGGUGAUCCCCCACACUGGUACUGAGACACGGACCAGACUCCUACGGGAGGCAGCAGUGAGGAAUAUUGGACAAUGGGUGAGAGCCUGAUCCAGCCAUCCCGCGUGAAGGACGACGGCCCUAUGGGUUGUAAACUUCUUUUGUAUAGGGAUAAACCUUUCCACGUGUGGAAAGCUGAAGGUACUAUACGAAUAAGCACCGGCUAACUCCGUGCCAGCAGCCGCGGUAAUACGGAGGGUGCAAGCGUUAUCCGGAUUUAUUGGGUUUAAAGGGUCCGUAGGCGGAUCUGUAAGUCAGUGGUGAAAUCUCAUAGCUUAACUAUGAAACUGCCAUUGAUACUGCAGGUCUUGAGUAAAGUAGAAGUGGCUGGAAUAAGUAGUGUAGCGGUGAAAUGCAUAGAUAUUACUUAGAACACCAAUUGCGAAGGCAGGUCACUAUGUUUUAACUGACGCUGAUGGACGAAAGCGUGGGGAGCGAACAGGAUUAGAUACCCUGGUAGUCCACGCCGUAAACGAUGCUAACUCGUUUUUGGGUUUUCGGAUUCAGAGACUAAGCGAAAGUGAUAAGUUAGCCACCUGGGGAGUACGUUCGCAAGAAUGAAACUCAAAGGAAUUGACGGGGGCCCGCACAAGCGGUGGAUUAUGUGGUUUAAUUCGAUGAUACGCGAGGAACCUUACCAAGGCUUAAAUGGGAAUUGACAGGUUAAGAAAUAGACUUUUCUUCGGACAAUUUUCAAGGUGCUGC